CCGCCAUUCGGACAGCCCCGGCCACGCCCCUGGGCCGCUAGCCCGCAGCCAAUGAGCAACUAGAGCCCGGUUGGGAGCUGCGCCGGCCAAUCAGAGACGCCGAGGACGCCUUGAAUCUCCGGGCAAGUUAAGUUUAUCUCCGAGGCUUGGAACUGAAGAGAGAUGGCGGGUUAGUUAGGUAGUGGGGUGGGUGGGAAUACAGCUUGUGCGGUCCGCCAAUAGGAGGAAGAGGGUGUGUCGGAUGCAAAUUAUCCCUGGAGGCCCAGCCCCUCCCCCGAAGACUGGCCACGCCCCCUUCUCUAGGUCCCUGCAAAAAUGGUAAGGAGAGUGAGAUAAAUAGCUGAGAGCUAGAGCCUCACUAGAGGGUCUAAAACUGAGCUAAAUAUUUCCUGGUUUCUUGAGAGAUGUUGGGGACGGGACAGGGGCGGUCGCUAAAACGUUCACAUUGUCAGGACAGUUAGUAGGCUUUCUCCCAGCCAAAAUCUUAGCUUAGCUGUGAAGAAGACUGCAGUCACGUAGCACUUGGCACCCAGGGAUCUCAAAGAACUUUAUGCAUCAUUUAUCUUGAGCCUUGUUUUGCAAAAGACCAACUACCUAAGGCUUGGGCUGGGGGUAGAGGUAGAUGUUUGAGCUAGAUUUACACCAUUAAUCGAGGUAGGGGGAGAAAGACACAAAGCCUCCGGUUUAGCGGUUUCCUCCUCCCUCUGAAGCACCUUCUCGCAGUCCUCUCAGCAAUGAAAGUUCCUUUAUUCGUCCAGCACGAAAAGGCCAAAGAAACAGGGUUAUCCUUUCACCUAACAGCCCUUUCUGGGGCAGUUGAUCAGAAACAUGCAGAGCAUAGAGCCUUGGCUUGGAAGGAAGGUUUGGAAGGAAGAACAAAUCGUCUGUAAACUAUUGGGCUGGACUUGCCUCUUCCAAAGCUAAAAAUGGUGAGUCAGGAUUUUGGCGUCCACGCUCUAGGGAGAGAAGCCACAUGUAAAUGGGGAAAGCUCUGGCUGGCAGAGCGAGGGGGAACAGGCGAAGGGGGAGCCAGGUCUCUUGAGGAGGCCAGCAACGCGCGUGCGGGUCGAAUGCGGGUUCCCGACGCAAGACGCCCGGAAACCUGCUCCCCAGUGAGAACAAAGGCAGGCGCCAAGCGAGAACCUGAUUGGUGCCGGGUCCUCACCGGUGUCCUCUGGGCCCCGGAGACAACUUGCUUCACCCACUGGCGCGGAGCUCCGUGCUCACUGGAGCCCAGGCUCCCCACCCGGCCUUGGCCGUGACCACACAGGACUGUGCGUUAUGACAUCACCUGUUUUCGCUCUUUAGAACAUGAUCUGUAGUCUCAGCUUCUCCUUUUUUAGAGGUCUCUAGUGUACCGGGAUUUGGGAAGGCCUGCAGUCCGCAGAAUGAAUCUGGAGAUGAUGUAAAAGAACGGUUUCACUGGUUUGCAUUUCUUUCUUUUCUUCCUUUUCUUUUUAAUUAAAAAACACACGGACACACACACACACACACACACACACACAGCCUGGUUUCCUUAGGGAUUCAGAGUGGUGUUGUAAUGCAAAAUCAGAAAGGUACACUUGGAGGAGCUAGCAAGUUUAGCAUAUCAAAGCUAUUAGACCAAAUUGUGUGGUUAAAACUGUCAAUCUUAUUUUUUCAACAGCUGCCUCCUCUGCCCCUUUUAGAGACCAACACACAUAAACCAAGUCUACACAAGGAACAAAGGAAGUGGAAAUCUGCCAGUGUCAGGUUGAAAUACAUUAAAAUUGACUGGAAAACCCCUGAAGGGCCUGAGUUAUGCGGUUGGGUAAAUGUGUUGAUCCACUUAACUAGUAAUAGCUAAAGGUCACUUGAUGCUGUUGUAGACAUGUAUAGCCUAGAAUAGCAAUGGUGUGGGGAAGGUGCUUGACAAUCAGAAAAAACUGUAAAAGCAAGAACAUUAAGGAGAGAAAUUACCAUAGGCUCGUCAAUGCAGAGAACCAAGAAAUCCAGGGAGAAAGUUAGCAAGGCACAGUUUUCCUAGGAACUGAAACACAUAUGUGUCCCUGUUUAGUGGUAAAUUUCUUGGGCUAUAUUCCUGGCUGGUUCUCCCUUGUAAAGCAGAUUUUAUGUGAAUGCAUUUUAAAGGAUAGGAGAUAUUGAAGGCUGAAGUGAAUUUUUGUGGAGAGAUUGAAUUUUUCUCAAAUAGUACUUUAGAUUCAAAUUGUUUUCCAUCGUAUUCUUAUAACCGUUCCUUUUACUUAGUAGUUAAAAUCCUUUCACAAUGGUUCUUUAAGCUCCUCAGUAACUAAAUUCCCCAGAAAAGAUGGCCAAGAGAGUGGAGCCUACACAAUUACACCCUCUGACAAAGAUUGCUAAAGGGAGGUUUUAAAGGAAUAGCUUGACCGAUACAUAGAUUCAUGUAUGUGACCAAAUAAUGGUGGUCUCCACCAAACUCCUCCAAACUUUUAUAACAUUAAUUGUCCAUAGGGCCAUUUAUUUGGCAUUUAACCAUGUACUGCAUUGGGACAUUUCUUACAUGGAACC
This 2508-nucleotide long non-coding RNA is filed under the name Lynx pardinus (Iberian lynx). Lineage: Eukaryota; Metazoa; Chordata; Mammalia; Carnivora; Felidae. The record is from RNAcentral.